UACGGAGGGGGCUAGCGUUGUUCGGAAUUACUGGGCGUAAAGCGCACGUAGGCGGCUUUGUAAGUUAGAGGUGAAAGCCCGGGGCUCAACCCCGGAACUGCCUUUAAGACUGCAUCGCUUGAAUCCAGGAGAGGUGAGUGGAAUUCCGAGUGUAGAGGUGAAAUUCGUAGAUAUUCGGAAGAACACCAGUGGCGAAGGCGGCUCACUGGCCUGGUAUUGACGCUGAGGUGCGAAAGCGUGGGGAGCAAACAGG
Molecule: ribosomal RNA, 253 nt
Filed under: uncultured bacterium
Lineage: Bacteria
Also listed under: 1 other name
Description: partial 16S ribosomal RNA
Rfam family: Bacterial small subunit ribosomal RNA
Source: RNAcentral